Molecule: long non-coding RNA, 587 nt
Filed under: Neodiprion lecontei (redheaded pine sawfly)
Lineage: Eukaryota; Metazoa; Arthropoda; Insecta; Hymenoptera; Diprionidae
Description: uncharacterized LOC124293107
Source: RNAcentral
CAUCGCCGCCGCCAAUCAGAGUCCAGAGUUCAACACGGCAUUGAUUAACCGAACAUAGUGAUCGCGUGAGUCGUACUUGGGUCCGAGCAACAGAUGCAACGACAGUAAUGCAAGUGGCACUCGUGACCCGUGAGGACAAAUCAUGGAAUAAUUAUCAUCAGGACAUCUGACCCAGAACAAUUCUCCGCUCCUUGAUCCAUUUCGAGUUCAGUGAAUCGUCCGCUAAUUGUUCAGGAUCAGGCUUCGCGGACGGUGCAAUUUAAUUUGCUGUAAGAACGAGGAGUGGAGAGUGUUCAUGCGAUGCACCGGCUGAUAAGUUACUACCGGAACCUCGCCCGCAAGGAUCAUCAUCGUCUAAGCCGAAGACGUGGGGAAGAAAAGAAAUGAAAAAAAAAAGAAAUAAAUAAAAAACGCUAAUAACAAUAAUAGACAGAAACGAAAAGUGUAACAAUCGAAAAGAAUUCAAUUUCUUGGAUGAAUUUAACGCGGUGAUAAAAAGCAGUGAGCAGCUGGAAAGUUUUGGGUAGUUAUUUAAUUAUAUUGCUAAUUUCUACUCUUAUAUUUAAAUAUAUAUAUAUAUAUAUAUA